RNAcentral lists this ribosomal RNA (484 nucleotides) under uncultured bacterium. Its description in RNAcentral is "bacterial SSU rRNA". It matches the Rfam family "Bacterial small subunit ribosomal RNA", at positions 15 to 507 of the family's 1533-position model. The record is from RNAcentral.
GAUCAUGGCUCAGGAUGAACGCUGGCGGCGUGCCUAACACAUGCAAGUCGAGCGGGAUCUUGCUAAAUGACGCUUCGGUAUUUAUCUUAGUGGCGGACGGGUGAGUAACACGUGAGGAACCUGCCUCUGAGUGCGGAAUAGCUUCUGGAAACGGAUGGUAAUACCGCAUAAUAUUAUGUUAUCGCAUGGUAAUAUAAUCAAAGAUUUAUUGCUCAGAGAUGGCCUCGCGUCUGAUUAGCUAGUUGGUGAGGUAACGGCCCACCAAGGCGACGAUCAGUAGCCGGACUGAGAGGUUGGACGGCCACAUUGGGACUGAGACACGGCCCAGACUCCUACGGGAGGCAGCAGUCGGGAAUAUUGCGCAAUGGGGGAAACCCUGACGCAGCGACGCCGCGUAAAGGAAGAAGGUCUUCGGAUUGUAAACUUUUGUCGACAGGGAAGAAAAAUGACAGUACCUGUGGAGGAAGCCCCGGCUAACUACGUG